UGUUCAUUUAAUCUUUACUUUUAAUUUAUUUUUAACGGUCUAUUUUUUUUUAUAUUUUUAAAAGGGUAAAUGUCAAAAAAUUCACUAACUUUACGCAUUUUUUCAUUUUAACCAUGUCGCUUAAAAGUCGUCAUUUUUAUACACGAACUAUCAAUUUUUCUCAAAUUCAUACACCGUUCAAAAAUCCGGUAAAAAUUGCUGAGUUAGCAACCGGAUAGCGACAUGCCAUAACGAAUCAGAUGGUAACAUGCCAUCAAUUUUCGCCGAAUUUGUGAACGGUGUAUGAAUUUGAGAAAAAAUGUUAUUUGGUGUAUGAAAAUGACGAUUUUUAAACGACGUGAUUAAAAUGAGAAAACGUGUAAAGUGUUAAGUGAAUUUUUUAUGACAUUAUCCCUUUUAAAAAACGUAAAGUUAAAAGACCUUAAAAUAAGGGCUGGUUAUACGGUACCACUUAGGCUGUGGUACCAUUUUUGUCAUUCACGGGUUACAAGUUGCUAUAGCGGAUCGACAAUGGCUUCCAAGCAGCCAGAGCAGUUAUUUAACGGUAGCCAAUCACCUUUGAAGAAGACAAAGCUGGAAGCAUAAGGUGAAGGCGGUGCUGAAACUGCUGCUGCUGAUGAUGAGGUGGAAAACGGAGGCUUAUACAUAUUCAGCAAUUGCGACAAUUGUGGUCUGCAAUUUGACGAUCCAGAAGAAAAUAGACAAUUCCGAUUAUACAAUCUCCGAGGGUUGCUUAUUUCUUCCGCGGAUGACCCCAAGGGUUUCUUAUUUCUAGAAGCGGUGUGAGCAUUUACAAAAAUAGCACCUUUGCUUAUUUAAUUCAAUUUUUUAUUUACUUCCAAACUGUGAAAAACUAAUCCAUUCUCAUCAUCUAUACUGGUCCGCUUGUGGGAUGUUGUAUCUGGCUCUCUUUUGGAUACUUGGGAAGUUAGCGUUAAGGUUGAUCUUUUGUCAAUAAGUUUUUGAUCAGAGGUUUCUUAUAACAUUCAUCUCUUCUUUACUUUUGAAGUGUAUUAGUUGCAUUUCUUUGCUUGAGUAUGAUGUCAAAUGGGAAAAAUAAGUUCCUUCAUUAAUUACCACGUUUUCAUUAGUUUGAUUUUGGGUGAAUUUUCUUAGUUUAAAUGUCGGCCAAUUGUUUGCAUUAAGCAAUAUGUUGGUAAUCAUACAAUGGCUAGGUUGCACAUACUCUUCAUUCAAUCAAUAUUUUUCGUUCCGGAAACGUGUCGGAAAACCCGGGGCACUAAACUUCCCUUUUAACAUAGCAAACCUUAAAAUAACAUAAUUUUUGCCUUGCCAUUUCCAUGUCCGAGUGUCCCGUUUAGCUGUGUUUGUAUGUGACUCUAUGAUACCUAGCAACCAGAUUACGCCAUAGAGAUUUAUUAUCCUUUUUCCUAUUUGAAGAAAGAUUAUAGCAAUAACUUUGUUAGGGUUUUAGAAACAAGGGGCUACUCCUUUGUCUUUGUCUAUUUUUGAUUUAUUUAGAUUGAUUCAUCUUCUCUUAAUGAAGGCAGGACUCACAGAGAUGGCAGAAGUGGUAACGAUUAUUUUACUGUCACUAAUUUGUGCACAAUUUUAAAAUUUCAUCUAGUAGUUGUGGUCAUUAAUUUACUGGAUGGAGCUGACGGGAUGAAAUUAAUUGGUCUAUUUCCAUAUUGGCUUGAUGCAGCUAGAGGCAAUGAUGUUCAUAAUACAGUGGAUGGUGUACAAUCAGGAAGGUAAGAAACUUAGAGGUGAAUGUUGAUCAACUUUGAGACAUGUUUUCACCUGGAAGGCAUUUUAGUCACAAUUUUGACAUAAGGAGAUAUAGAAGAGUAUAAGGUUUCUGUUGUAUAUUAUAAAAAAUGGAUAAGAAUUUUAUAUCUCAAUUUUAGUGUGUUUUGUGUGAUAUUAUGAAAGAUUGUUAAACAUGCUUUAAGCAUCUGUUGCAUAGCUCCUAAAUGUUGCAUCUAAUUGUGCCAAUAAAUUGCUUUUAUUUCUCUC
Long non-coding RNA from Mercurialis annua (annual mercury), 1980 nucleotides. RefSeq lists it as uncharacterized. Lineage: Eukaryota; Viridiplantae; Streptophyta; Magnoliopsida; Malpighiales; Euphorbiaceae. The record is from RefSeq and is a predicted model, not a curated record. The transcript has 2 exons.